RNAcentral lists this ribosomal RNA (210 nucleotides) under uncultured bacterium. RNAcentral's name for it is "partial 16S ribosomal RNA". It matches the Rfam family "Bacterial small subunit ribosomal RNA", at positions 524 to 730 of the family's 1533-position model. The record is from RNAcentral.
UACGUAGGGCGCAAGCGUUAUCCGGAAUUAUUGGGCGUAAAGAGCUCGUAGGCGGUUUGUUGCGUCGGCUGUGAAAUCCCGAGGCUCAACCUCGGGUCUGCAGUCGAUACGAGCAAACUAGAGUGUUGCAGGGGAGACUGGAAUUCCUGGUGUAGCGGUGAAAUGCGCAGAUAUCAGGAGGAACACCCGGUGGCGAAAGGGCGGGUCUCU